AAGGACUCUUCCUCUUCUUAAUGCAUAAAUGAGGGUGGUGGCAUUUUUUUUUGGCAUAAACACUACGGUGGCAUGGAGGAGUCCUUUCACACUUGAAACUCUUUCAAAUUAGAUAGGAGUCCCAUUAAAAUAGACCUAAUUCAAUCAGAUCAAAGGUAAUAGGUUUGGUUUAGCUCAAAUACUUUAAACUUAACCUAAUUGGAAAUUUGGCCUAACACAAUAUGCUAGCA
This 230-nucleotide long non-coding RNA is filed under the name Elaeis guineensis (African oil palm). Its description in RNAcentral is "long non-coding RNA (EGUI_LNC050901)". The record is from RNAcentral. Lineage: Eukaryota; Viridiplantae; Streptophyta; Magnoliopsida; Arecales; Arecaceae.